RNAcentral lists this small RNA (2972 nucleotides) under Rattus norvegicus (Norway rat). Its description in RNAcentral is "uncharacterized LOC102553568". Lineage: Eukaryota; Metazoa; Chordata; Mammalia; Rodentia; Muridae. The record is from RNAcentral.
CAUACCUUAAAAAAAAAGACAGGGUCUACUUUAAAGGUUUAUAAACACUAGACACCCUCUCCUAGGAUGUCUUCCUUGAAUAUAGCUCAUUCCAUGUUCACACAGCAAACAUGUACUGUAAGAAACCACUCUCACACGUAUGUCAUUGUACCCUGCGGUAAUAGCAUCAGAUGGAGGGGCAUGGAACACAGAGGAAGCUCUGGGCUCUGGCUAGACCCACAGACUACAACCAGGAGAAGGGGUGAGAGACUGAAGAAGACAGAAGACCUCGCACUGCUUCUGUGGAGCCUCAUCUUGGUUACCACUCCCUGGCCUACAAUUGUGUGAUCAUAGUCACAUGUCCCAGGUGAUAUCCCAUCCCCAGGACCCAAGUGGACGCUGGCUACACAUGGCAGGUCUGAGAUUCCAGCCGUAGAAGACAGGGUCUCUGGGGUAGGUGGUAUUAAAUCCAGCUCUGGAUUUAACCAAUGGACCCUGCCUCAAUGAAUGAUGUAGAAAGCUUCCUGAUUAUCAAGCUCAGGCUUGAUAGGGGGAAGCUAUAUAUUGUGAUGCUUGUAAUCUUAGUCUUGGGGAGAUAGGAAGAUUUUUUUAGGGUUCAUUAGCUUAACCUGUGAGACUCGAGUCUCAGUAAGAGUCCCUAUCUUAGAAACAGGAGGAUGAUACUGAACUGCUUAUACUACAGGCUGACUUCUGGCCUCCACAGACAUGUGCAUACGCACGUGUGCACACAUGUAUAGGUGCCCCUGAAAAAACAUGAACAUACACACAUGCAUGGCCGCAGUGAAAGAGGGAGAAAGGACUUCCUCCUCAUCAGCGUUGUCAAGCACAGGCAACACUUGAAUCCUGAGCGCCAGGGAGGGCUACAACUGUUUUGUCCCAAGCUGUUUCUUCAUUAUUUCUCCACCUCCUUACAGGGGCACAGAUUACAGGCCAAGCUGUGGAUAAAGUGAACCCUGGCUUUACCAGAACGGGGACAAAGACAUGAAAGCUGUUAUUGUGCUAAUCCUAGCACCGUUCAACUGUGCCAAGCUUGCAAGGAGGGCACAUGAGGCCAGCACAGACUGAGGUAAGUCCCAAGAGACAGGCAGCAGACAGGGAGGAGAUGGAGACGGGGAAAGUUGUGUAAAGGAGGGGGUGGGUGCCUAUGGUGGGACAGACAUGAUUUCCCCAAUGCCCGGAAGGUAGUAACCCGAGUGGUUGUGGUGGAGAGGGCUGCAGAAGAGGGUGGGAAUUCUCUGGGUCUUGAAAGCCUUUCAGUGAGUUGAAUCUUCACCUGGGAGAGAAGAGAGGCCACCAAUGACUUGGAUUCUGUAUCUGGCCCAGGCUCAGGGUUAGUCAGAAGUCUGUUGAAUGGAAAUCUGUCUCCUCUGUAUCUGGGUGCCCCAUAAUUUGAGAAGCCCUGCCCUGAAUUCUGAAAUCUUCAGAUCGAGCAACCACAUUGCUGUCUGAUUUAGGUAGAGAAGAAUUCUUCUUGCUAGAGCCUCCUUUUGUCUGGCCCGGGGGAUCCUGGCUCCACUGUAGCUGUUGGCAGGUUUCAGUUCUUGCCACCAACAAGGAGGGACAGGAAGAGAGGUCCUUGAUGACCGACCUAGCUGGGUGGAACCUUGGAGAGCUCCCAUCUUGUCUCCUCUGUAGAUGAGGGAAUCACGGGCUACACAGGCUUCAUUAGGGUAAGUCCUUGGAAUUGAACCCAGUUGUGGUAUGAUGGCCAGGUGGUAUGAUCGCCUUUUCCUCACUCCCUCCUCAUGUACUCUGUGGACUUCUGAGAAGUUCAAGAGGCUACAGCCAUGACAUGAGGAGAGGAGAGGAAGCAGCUGACCUUCAGAGGCUCUAGUGAUACAGCUCUCUGUACCUCAGGGUCUUAGUGAUAGAUCCUGACAGUACCAGAUCAGGUCACCAGCCUAGGACCUCCCCCUUCCCUGCCCAUCUUCUCCACAGGGACCCCUUGUCCCAUCCUCAGGAAGUUUCUGGGAACCCAUGACUAGUUUCUCUGUGGACACAGCUUCCCCUGACAAGACAUACAUCUGGUAGUGACUCACACACUGGAUUUCUGCCCAAGGCCGUACAUCUUGAGUGGGGAGAACAUUCUCUUGAACUGACAACCUGCCCACCCUGCGGUGACAAUGGAGGCUGCCUUUGUCAGCCAACACUGAUGUCAUUCAAAUGGCACUUGGACCUCCUUGCCUGGGUUGUCCUAAGAUUCCAGUGUCCCUCACAUACCAGAUUCUUCCUCAAAAUUUCUCUGUCCCAGAGGGCUAGCCCCUCUCUUGUCCCCCUCCCCCUCCCUAGGUCAUCAUUUCUGCUCCAACACCCUCCCUAGGCCUCUCCAGCCCUGGUUCAGCUGCUUGAUUUUGAAAUACCAUUCAUGAUUUGCACCUCAGUCCUGUUAUAGGCAGUGCAGCAGUCCUGUCCCCAAGGGUGGCAGACUCAGAGGAGGAGACCAUUUGUACUAAUCACAGCAAACACCACAGAUAGCAAUGCUGGAUGCCAAGUGUGCCCACCACCAGGUCCUCACACUUACAGGCUUGUAUCACUAUUAACUUCUGGGCAAAGUCAUCUCCCCAGUAAGAAUUUCCUAAAUCCUAACUUCCUCCCCUAGACCCUUGUCUUACUAUCCAUUUACUUUUCCUGCAUCAUGUAUCAUUUUCCCAUACUUGUUCGUUGCCUAAACAGUGGCUUGCUGCUUGUCUGUCAUUCGAGGAACAAUCGGUGCCUGAGAACGGAAGCUCUGGAAAGGAAGCAAUGGAAGAGCGAGGAGACAACUUACAUGCAGAACGGGAGAAAGUCUUUGCCAGCUCUAUAUCCAACAGGGCAUUAAUAUCUAAGGUCUGUCUAGGACUUUUCCAUCUCCAAAAAUUAAAAACUAAGAACACACCAAUCAUUCAGGCAAUAAGUGGGCUGUUGAACUGAAUGGGCAGUUCUCGAAAGAAGAAAUACGAAUAGCUAAUAAAUACUCGAGAAAACAAAAAUCA